GAAUUAUUGGACAGGCCAGUUUUUGGCAACUACACUUUGCCCUAGGCUGAGCGUCAGGCCCUAUAAAGAGGUGCUCUGCUGCACGACUGCCAUCCUCCUGGUACUCGAGUCCCAACCUCCUUUGGAGAACGUGCUCCGAAGACUCCAGAAAGAUGUCUUCUCAACAGCAGCAGUGCAAGCAGCCCUGCCAGCCCCCUCCUGUGUGCCCACCUAAGUGCCCAGAGCCGUGCCCGCCCCCAAAAUGCCCUGAGCCGUGCCCACCCCCACAGAGGCAGCAGAAAUGCCCUCCUGUGCAACCUCCUCCACCAUGCCAGCAGAAGUGCCCGCCCAAGAGCAAGUAACAGCUUCAGCAGCAUCAGGAUCUGGAAAAGAGAAGGACCAUUGGCUCGCCUGCUUCCACAGCUCCACCUUCACCUUCUCUUCCGAGCCUAUCAUGGUGGCAGAAGCGGCUCCUCCACCCUUCAGCCUGGAAAAUGCCUGUGUGACCCCUGACAGCAAAAGGGUUCCUUCCUGAGGCUGUCACACUGCUCCUCUCCGGGAGGGAGCUGAGGAAGGGCAUCCUCAGCUGUGCCAGCAUCCCAGAGCUUCAGGAGGAAGAGCAGCAGCUCUCUUCCUGGGUGCCAGCAGGGGAGGCUCUUGAUGUCUUCUGUGUCUGUCUGUCCCCUGGGCAGGGGUUUGUAUCACCUGGCAAUUGUUCCUUUUCUUCCAUUUCCUGAAUAAAGUGCCAUUUUGUGGGA
This 737-nucleotide long non-coding RNA is filed under the name Equus caballus (horse). Its description in RNAcentral is "lncRNA (ENSECAG00000050781.1)". The record is from RNAcentral. Lineage: Eukaryota; Metazoa; Chordata; Mammalia; Perissodactyla; Equidae.